GAUGAAGAACGCAGCGAAAUGCGAUAAGUAGUGUGAAUUGCAGAAUUCAGUGAAUCAUCGAAUCUUUGAACGCACAUUGCGCCCGGCAGUAAUCUGCCGGGCAUGCCUGUCCGAGCGUCAUUUCUCCCCUCGAGCGCAGCUUUCCCCCCCGGGGGAGGGCCGCGCCCGGUGUUGGGGCGCUACGGAGGAGCCCAGCGCUCCCCCGUAGGCCCCGAAAUGUAGUGGCGGUCCCGCCGCGGCGCCCCCUGCGUAGUAGUUUUACAACUCGCAUCGGGUCCCGGCGGAGGCCAGCCGUCAAACCCCCCAACUUCAAUAGUUUGACCUCGGAUCAGGUAGGGUUACCCGCUGAACUUAAGCAUAUCAAUAAGCGGAGGA
Molecule: unclassified non-coding RNA, 375 nt
Filed under: soil metagenome
Description: partial contains 5.8S ribosomal RNA, internal transcribed spacer 2, and large subunit ribosomal RNA
Rfam family: 5.8S ribosomal RNA (bases 1-120)
Source: RNAcentral